RNAcentral lists this ribosomal RNA (540 nucleotides) under Halomonas alimentaria. Its description in RNAcentral is "bacterial SSU rRNA". It matches the Rfam family "Bacterial small subunit ribosomal RNA", at positions 346 to 873 of the family's 1533-position model. The record is from RNAcentral. Lineage: Bacteria; Pseudomonadati; Pseudomonadota; Gammaproteobacteria; Oceanospirillales; Halomonadaceae.
GGGGAGCAGUGGGGAAUAUUGGACAAUGGGCGAAAGCCUGAUCCAGCCAUGCCGCGUGUGUGAAGAAGGCUUUCGGGUUGUAAAGCACUUUCAGUGGGGAAGAAAUCCUCAGGGCCAAUACCCCUGAGGGAGGACAUCACCCACAGAAGAAGCACCGGCUAACUCCGUGCCAGCAGCCGCGGUAAUACGGAGGGUGCGAGCGUUAAUCGGAAUUACUGGGCGUAAAGCGCGCGUAGGCGGCGUGAUCAGCCGGUUGUGAAAGCCCCGGGCUCAACCUGGGAACGGCAUCCGGAACUGUCACGCUAGAGUGCAGGAGAGGAAGGUAGAAUUCCCGGUGUAGCGGUGAAAUGCGUAGAGAUCGGGAGGAAUACCAGUGGCGAAGGCGGCCUUCUGGACUGACACUGACGCUGAGGUGCGAAAGCAUGGGUAGCAAACAGGAUUAGAUACCCUGGUAGUCCAUGCCGUAAACGAUGUCGACUAGCCGUUGGGGUCCUUGUGACCUUUGUGGCGCAGUUAACGCGAUAAGUCGACCGUCCGUUC